GACUCUCCUUCAUGCAUCGGUAUGAUAUAAUGAACCCAAAAACAAUGUGAUGAAUAAAAAUGAUAAGUUUACCAUGCUUCCAAUCUUAAUGUCGAUGAAACAAAGUCCGUGAGGGAAUGAGGGAGUGUGCAAGUGAACAAGAGAGUGUCUAAGUGAACGAAGGAGUGUGUAAGUGAACGAGAGAGUGUCUAAGUGAACGAGGGAGUGCAUGAAUGAAUGAGGUAGUGUGUAAGUGAAUAAGAGAGUGUGUGAGGGAAUGAGGGAGUGUGUAAGUGAACGA
Long non-coding RNA from Xenia sp. Carnegie-2017, 280 nucleotides. RefSeq lists it as uncharacterized. The record is from RefSeq and is a predicted model, not a curated record. The transcript is spliced from 2 exons. NCBI's taxonomy places the organism in Eukaryota, Metazoa, Cnidaria, Anthozoa, Malacalcyonacea, Xeniidae.